GUUGUAGCUGGGUGGUAGAGCACUUGCCUAACAUGUGCAAGACUCUGGGUUCAAUUCCUAGCACA
This 65-nucleotide transfer RNA is filed under the name Marmota monax (woodchuck). RNAcentral describes it as "tRNA.Val". The record is from RNAcentral. Lineage: Eukaryota; Metazoa; Chordata; Mammalia; Rodentia; Sciuridae.